This 103-nucleotide microRNA precursor is filed under the name Marmota monax (woodchuck). Lineage: Eukaryota; Metazoa; Chordata; Mammalia; Rodentia; Sciuridae. The record is from RNAcentral.
AGUGGGAUAGCUGGGUCAAAUGGUGGUUCCAUUCCCAGUUUUCUGAGGAAACUCUAUACUGUUUUCCAUAUUGGUUGCACCAGUUUGUAGUCCCACCAGCAAU